This is a non-coding RNA of Columba livia (rock pigeon), 744 nucleotides long. Lineage: Eukaryota; Metazoa; Chordata; Aves; Columbiformes; Columbidae. The record is from the annotation of a RefSeq genome assembly.
UGUCGCACCCAGAACAUGGCGAAGCUGCUGAAGAGAAGGUGGAGCUGGGCGGCCAUUGAGCUGGUGGAGUCCGGGGGCGGCCUCGUGUCCCCGGGGGUCCCUGCGCCUCGUUUGCAAGGGCUCGGGAUUCACCUUCAGCAGCUCUGCCAUGCAGUGGGCGCGACAGGCGCCCAACGGGGGGCUCGAGUAUGUCGCAGCAAUUAAUAGCGCUGGUAGUAGCACCUACUACGCGCCAUCGGUCAAGGGCCGGGCCACCAUCUCGAGGGACAACGGGCAGAGCACGGUGACGCUGCAGCUGAACAGCCUCAAGGCCGAGGACACGGCCACUUAUUACUGCGCCAAACGUGGUGCUGGUGGUUAUGGUGCUGAUUAUGCUGCUGGUGAAACCGAUGCCAACGUCCCUGCUCUGGGUCCCCAAACGUGCCCCGGUUCACAGCACAAAAUGGUGGGAGCGCCUGGAAACGGAAGGGAAGGGGAUCAAGAUGGAGCCAGGGCAAAAAUGGUCAAGAUUUGGGGUAAAAAGAGUGGAGAUUUGGGUGAAACAAUGAAGAUUUAGGGCCCGGCGGUUGAUCAGACCCGCACCACCAUAAUCAAAAGCCCGUUUGGCGCAGUAAUAAGUGGCCGUGUCCUGGGCCCUGAGGCCGUUCAGCUGCAGCGUCGCCGUGCUCAGGCCGUUGUCCCUCGAGAUGGUGGCCCGGCCCUGGACCGAUGGCCCGUACCAGGUGCUACCACCAGUAUUAAUAA